AGAUUGAACGCUGGCGGCAUGCCUUACACAUGCAAGUCGAACGGCAGCACGGGAGCAAUCCUGGUGGCGAGUGGCGAACGGGUGAGUAAUACAUCGGAACGUGCCCAAUCGUGGGGGAUAACGCAGCGAAAGCUGUGCUAAUACCGCAUAAGAUCUACGGAUGAAAGCAGGGGAUCGCAAGACCUUGCGCGAAUGGAGCGGCCGAUGGCAGAUUAGGUAGUUGGUGAGGUAAAGGCUCACCAAGCCUUCGAUCUGUAGCUGGUCUGAGAGGACGACCAGCCACACUGGGACUGGGACACGGCCCAGACUCCUACGGAGGCAGCAGUGGGGAAUUUUGGACAAGUGGGCGAAAGCCUAGAUCCAGCCAGUGCCGCGUGCAGGAUGAAGCCGUUCGGUUGUAAACGUGUCGUUUGUACGUAACGAAAAGU
Molecule: ribosomal RNA, 428 nt
Filed under: uncultured soil bacterium
Lineage: Bacteria
Description: bacterial SSU rRNA
Rfam family: Bacterial small subunit ribosomal RNA
Source: RNAcentral